ACGGGGGGUCCAAGCGUUGUUCGGAAUCACUGGGCGUAAAGCGCACGUAGGUGGCUUUUCAAGUCUGUUGUGAAAGCCCCGGGCUUAACUUGGGAAUUGCGCUCGAAACUACUUGGCUGGAGUGUGGCAGAGGAGGGUGGAAUUCCACGUGUAGCGGUGAAAUGCGUAGAGAUGUGGAGGAACACCAAUGGCGAAGGCAGCCCUCUGGGCCAACACUGACGCUCAUGCACGAAAGCGUGGGGAGCAAACAGGA
RNAcentral lists this ribosomal RNA (253 nucleotides) under uncultured prokaryote. RNAcentral's name for it is "partial 16S ribosomal RNA". It matches the Rfam family "Bacterial small subunit ribosomal RNA", at positions 525 to 777 of the family's 1533-position model. The record is from RNAcentral.